RNAcentral lists this ribosomal RNA (460 nucleotides) under uncultured bacterium. RNAcentral describes it as "bacterial SSU rRNA". It matches the Rfam family "Bacterial small subunit ribosomal RNA", at positions 343 to 794 of the family's 1533-position model. The record is from RNAcentral.
UGGAGGCAGCAGUGGGGAAUUGUUCGCAAUGGGCGCAAGCCUGACGACGCAACGCCGCGUGGAGGAUGAAGACCUUCGGGUCGUAAACUCCUUUCGACCGAGAUGAAUUUCUGCCGGCCUAACAUGCCGGCGGGGUGACAGUAUCGAGGGAAGCAGCCCCGGCUAACUCCGUGCCAGCAGCCGCGGUAAUACGGGGGGGGCAAGCGUUGUUCGGAAUUACUGGGCGUAAAGGGUUCGUAGGUGGCUUGUUAAGUCAGACGUGAAAUCCCUCGGCUCAACCGGGGAACUGCGUCUGAGACUGAUGAGCUCGAGUGCAGGAGAGGAACGCGGAAUUCCAGGUGUAGCGGUGAAAUGCGUAGAUAUCUGGAGGAACACCGGUGGCGAAGGCGGCGUUCUGGACUGCAACUGACACUGAGGAACGAAAGCCAGGGGAGCAAACGGGAUUAGAUACCCCGGUAGG